RNAcentral lists this unclassified non-coding RNA (675 nucleotides) under Hevea brasiliensis (rubber tree). The record is from RNAcentral. Lineage: Eukaryota; Viridiplantae; Streptophyta; Magnoliopsida; Malpighiales; Euphorbiaceae.
GUUAUGAUAUUUUGUUUAGGAAACUUGGUGAUUAGAAGCCGUAUGAGCUCAUUGUUAGCCUAUAAAUGUUAGGGUUAAUUUUAAUUUCUUGUUUUAUUUUUAAUUUUUAUUUUGAGUUCUGUGAGAGUAUAUAUUUAUGAGAUAACGGAGUGAGUGAAAUAAUUUCAAGCUUGUGAUUGACUGAGACGGGGAAAUAUAAUAACCCGAAAUACUAGAAUUAGUACCACUGGAACUCUGGAAGUAGAAAGGUUGAAAUGUGUACUGGAUGAGUCAAAGCAUAAAAGUAACGUGGUGAAAAUAGCAGUAGGUACAACUAGAUUGGCCUAUGCAGGAGAAGCCAGCCAAAUAGGAUGAAAAAUGCUUGAUUAGCAAAAAAAAGGAGGCAUAAGAGAAAAAUCAGUUGCCAGAAACUACAAAAUAGCAUUCAAAACAAGCUUUUGCUGUUAAGAAAAAUCUAGAAUUGCUUCCCAAGGAAAAGAUGAAGCAUGAAAAGCAAGCAAUUAUAGGUUAAGCAAGCCGUUGAAAGUAAUAUAUAUGAUGAGUGAGAGAUUGACUUUGUUACUCUAAAUAAGUUGAAAUGAACUUUCUAAGUGUUGUCAUUGCUAUUUUGUGCGUUGAAUGUGGAAUGGCACGAAGUAAAAUUAGUUUAUGCUAUUCAAUGUAUUUAUGAUUUGC